AGCCUUGUGGUGUACAACAUGUUAGAUUGCAAAUCUAAGGAUGCAGAUUAGAUUCUGCCGGGGCUU
RNAcentral lists this transfer RNA (66 nucleotides) under Heteropneustes fossilis (stinging catfish). RNAcentral describes it as "tRNA-Cys". It matches the Rfam family "tRNA". Rfam says of the family: Transfer RNA (tRNA) molecules are approximately 80 nucleotides in length. Their secondary structure includes four short double-helical elements and three loops (D, anti-codon, and T loops). Lineage: Eukaryota; Metazoa; Chordata; Actinopteri; Siluriformes; Heteropneustidae. The record is from RNAcentral.